RNAcentral lists this ribosomal RNA (491 nucleotides) under uncultured bacterium. RNAcentral describes it as "partial 16S ribosomal RNA". It matches the Rfam family "Bacterial small subunit ribosomal RNA", at positions 30 to 506 of the family's 1533-position model. The record is from RNAcentral.
AUUGAACGCUGGCGGCAUGCUUUACACAUGCAAGUCGAACGGUAACAGGCCUUCGAGUGCUGACGAGUGGCGAACGGGUGAGUAAUGCAUCGGAACGUACCCAGAGGUGGGGGAUAACGCAGCGAAAGCUGUGCUAAUACCGCAUGUGAUCUGAGGAUGAAAGCGGGGGACCGAGCAGCAAUGUUUGGCCUCGCGCCUUUGGAGCGGCCGAUGUCGGAUUAGCUAGUUGGUGGGGUAAAGGCCUACCAAGGCGACGAUCCGUAGCUGGUCUGAGAGGACGACCAGCCACACUGGGACUGAGACACGGCCCAGACUCCUACGGGAGGCAGCAGUGGGGAAUUUUGGACAAUGGGCGCAAGCCUGAUCCAGCAAUGCCGCGUGCGGGAAGAAGGCCUUCGGGUUGUAAACCGCUUUUGGCAGGAACGAAACGGUGUCCGCUAAUACCGGGCGCUAAUGACGGUACCUGCAGAAUAAGCACCGGCUAACUACGU